GUUGCAGAGUAAAGAUUAAAGUUUCCGAGAAAAAUAACCCUGACCACAUUCUCUCAAAUCUUUUUAGGGUUUCAUAUUGCAAUUUAUGCUCUCAAUUUUUCAACUCAGGGUUUUGUGAAUGGUAAAAAUAGGUCUUGAGGAGGGGGCAAGCAAUGGUCAAUAAACAGAGUGUGGGAAGGAGAUUAAAUGCUUAAGGAGUGAACCAGUGGGUAAUGGGUGUGGAUAUGAAUGUAUGAAUGAUUCUGGUGAUGGAAGUUCUGGAGCAAGUGAGAGUUUUUGAACAUAUGAGAGGCGCAAACAGUUAAGUUUGAGUUCAAAGAUCAGAGUGCAAGAUGGCGGUAAUGCAUCAACUGACCAGGUCACUCUUCCUGGGAUUGAUCAUUGUGUUUUUUAAGUGAAAAAUUAUCGUCUACAAAGGAAGUGGAGAAAUGUUGUAUUGGAGCACAUGCAUCAGUUAUUAAGUGGUGAUGAAGGUGGUAUACAGCGUUGCAUUCAAGAUGCACUUUUAUUUCGAGAAAAUGGUUGUAAUGUGACAUUUAAGUUUUAUGUUUUUAUCUAAAUUCAAUGUGGUCUAUCAUGCCUUGCACUAAUCCUUCUCUUUUCAAUUUUCUUUCUGAUGUAUUGGAAUAUUAACUUUCUACAUGAUUCUGAGGAGCUGGAGGCUGUUAUAUGUAACAUGUCCUUAAAGGAGUCAAAACCUCAAACCACCACUGAGAAGUGUUAGCGUGUUUUCUUUGAAGUUAUAAUUUCUGAAAACUUCACAUCUUUGUGCAAGCUUCUAUUUGACAAUUUCCAAGGGAUCAAGUUUGAUAGCCUCUUUCACUUAGGUCUCAUGAAAUCAAGGAUGAAGGAUGGAGCUUAUAAGAAAUCACCUAUGCUAUUCUCAUCAGACAUUCAGGAGGUGAUUUAUGCAAUCGUUUUUAUUUGCAUACCAUACACUACUUGAAUGGACUUGCUUAGUUAAAACUAGAAAUGUUACAUCGAUUGAAUUAAAGUUUUAUAAGCUUCAGUUUUGGUUAUGUUUAGAACAGUAUUACA
Long non-coding RNA from Hibiscus syriacus, 1038 nucleotides. RefSeq lists it as uncharacterized. The transcript is spliced from 3 exons. Lineage: Eukaryota; Viridiplantae; Streptophyta; Magnoliopsida; Malvales; Malvaceae. The record is from RefSeq and is a predicted model, not a curated record.